CAUGUACAGGGGUACAAACCUGCAAGCUCACCACCAGCAUUGAUGUGAUCUUGUGUGAGCUCCUGCCACAGAGGCUGCUACACCAGAGCUGAGGAAAGCUUCUAAAGAGCUUGCAUGUUUUCUUGACUCCAUAUUGUUGACUGACUGACAAGACAAAAUGCUAAAUUUUACCAUGUUGCAUCUGAUAAACUCACAGAGAAAGUGAAGGAUAGGAAUUUAAAUAAGGCUCACAAAGAGGCAGCCUUAGCUUUCUGGAACCCAAACACCUGCAAUUCUUUUAUGUCUUCCCCAUCCAGCAGCAUUCUCAGAAUGACAUGUUUUUAUUGAAAGGUCCGUUUGCAGUAGCUCAUAACUGCAUCAAGAACACCAAGAGCUGAAACACCAUCCAUGACUGGGAGGGAAAUCUGCUUUGGAGGGACAAAUUUAUAAGUGGUGAUGGGGAUAAUUGUCUACUACCCCAUCCUGCCAGGAGAAUUUUAUCUCGGGAAAAAAGAUUCGGGAAGGUUUCCGACAACACCAUGAACUGCCCAUUUCUGCAGCUUCAUGCAAAGCUCCAGCAAACGCUUUUCACUAAACACAAUCUCUCAAGAUUGUUCAGUUCUCAUAAUUGUAUUGUUUUCUAAAGCCUAGAUCCUGUGCACACUAUUCAGCACAAUAUUUACUACUGUGAAUAAA
Molecule: long non-coding RNA, 675 nt
Organism: Manacus vitellinus (golden-collared manakin)
Lineage: Eukaryota; Metazoa; Chordata; Aves; Passeriformes; Pipridae
Exons: 3
Source: RefSeq, a predicted model, not a curated record